AGCACCGAGACACAGCCGGUAUUUCUUUGUUUGUUGUGAAGCGGAGCAGUUAAGCGAACAUAUUUUCUCUACGUCAACCAGCAUGUUUUUGGAUGGGGAAAUUGUGAUACAUAUCUUACCAGAGAAAUCAUUGGAUUAUUCGUCGUCCUGCAGCAGCUGUGAGCUUGGCUCCUCGGCUUCUCUCUGAGACACUUCGUGUUCACCGCAGCCAUCCGACCUCAAGGAGACAGAUGGGCUGCUGAUGUUGAGGUGAGGGAAUUUGGCUCGCAGGUUCCUGCUCUGGGCUCUGGAAGCGAAGGAGACAAACAAGAUGUUUCAUUCUGUCACAGUCGGCGCACCGUAUCGCUCUCAUCGCCUAAGGAAAGUUGCCACCUUAUGCACUCCGCUUCUCCGCCUUAUGCACUGCCGGUUCUCUCCGUCUCCUUUUUCAUUCACAACUUCUUUCUGUCAGUCUUGGAGAAGUUAAUCCAUGCUUCCUCUUUAUUUAUUUAUUUUUUGGCAGCAACCGAGAUAUUUUAAGUUUGGUAUAAGGUAGAGACAUGGAUCCCCUUGUUCUAUUUUUGCUGUUUUGUCCCUUUCAACUCUCACUUUUCCAACCUGUCACAACAGGAACACUUUUUUUUGACACUUUGUGUUCCCUCAACUUUUGUCUCUCGCUCUACCUAGGCUCAUUCUAUUGCAUUUGACAUGAUGCCAGAUGCAUAACAAUAUAGCAAACCACAGACACGGUACUAUUUUGCAUAGGACAUUUAUGGCCUGAUUUACUACGAUUUAAAUACUAUGCGAUAAAAAGCUUAUGCAACGUAUAAAAUUGCAUGUAUUAUUAGUGGGCGUUUUGCGAGUGAUCUAAGACUGUGUGCAAUUGAAAAGUUUUGCAGACAAUGAGGCUUUUGGGUUUACUAUACGGGGCAUCACCACGGAGAAACUCAUUUACUGCACAUUCAUGUUAUGCUAUUGUGUUUUUCUAUAUUUUCAAACAUGCAAGAGACAUCUACCACUUUUUAUGGGCAUUUUAGAAGCAGUGCAUUCUCUGCACAACUGUGCUCAAGACGCAAAAAAAAAUGCAUACUUCAAGAAGUUUUUAUCAUAUAGGAUAUAUGUUAGUAAUAUACAGUAUGUGAAAAACGAACAUUAAAAAAAAAAUUAACACAUCGAUUGAAUUUCUUUUUAAAUCAGCCCCUUAGUAGGCCAGCAACUAUUAAGUUAAUAAAGGAUGUUGCUGAAUAAACAAUAUGUGUAAUAUACUUCUGUCCAAAUAUUCUUAUUCAACCAUGAAUUGAUUAACAUCGACCCCGACUUAAACAAGUUGAAAAACUUAUUCGGGUGUUACCAUUUAGUGGUCAAUUGUACGGAAUAUGUACUGAACUGUGCAAUCUACUAAUAAAAGUAUCAAUCAAUCAAACGUAGGACGGAGGAUACUCUGUCCAUCGUGUGUCUGUGCAAAAAUAGUGCUACCAAACCGAUGAUGAUUGUUGAUAAAUCACAUUGCGUGUGUGAUAGAUAAUUAUAUUUGCAUUUUAUCCCCCCAGUUUUGUUGAUCAUAUAUUUUGGAAAAUAGUAAAGACAGAGAUGCGAAAUGGAUCGCCCCCCCCCCUUAUUCUGCUCACUUAACAGACGCAAUCAACUUUGAACACGUUAAGUAGAUCGGCUUUGCAUUUGCUAUUAAGUUUGCACGUGUUUUAAUACACGCAAACCUUUAGUAAAUUAGGCCCUCAGUGUUUAAAGGUGUGCACGCCUAUUGCCUUUAAACAAUAUUAUUGCCAGCAUUAUAUGGAGACAACUUGCAUGUAAUAAAAAACAAAACAAAUCAAAAGGCAUUGUUCAGAAUUGUAUUUUGUAUUUAUUUAUUAUUUGUAUAUGCAAUUUUUAAGUAUGAGCUUGUGCACCAUUUAAACACUGUCUCAAAAUGACCAAUGGAGCACCAAUAUCGGUUGGAAUGUUAACACCCAUUCUAAUGACAUGUUCACUGACGCUGGAAGUGCUUUGAAUGUGUGUGUGUGCGUCACAUCAUUUCAUCUUCUUUCUAUCUUUCCAUGUUCUUCUUGUUGCAGCACUGUAGUCUCCUCUUGGAUUAAUUUGUGCAGCAGAGCUAAAUAAAAAGCAAAUGACCUACAUAAA
Nerophis ophidion (straightnose pipefish) is the source of this 2118-nucleotide long non-coding RNA. RefSeq lists it as uncharacterized. The transcript is spliced from 2 exons. The record is from RefSeq and is a predicted model, not a curated record. NCBI's taxonomy places the organism in Eukaryota, Metazoa, Chordata, Actinopteri, Syngnathiformes, Syngnathidae.